UGCGAAAUUGGGCUGCUUAGAGGCCCAAGUGAACAAGCGGAGUGCUGAGGACUCGUCGCGUUGGCGACGGAGAGCGUCGAGGAGUUGAGUAGAAGUGAAAUUGGAAGGGAGUUGACGAGAGAAAGUGGAAGAUGAAGAUGAUUGUGAGGUGAGUUGCCGAUGGUCGUGGUGUUGUGUGGAGGCAAAAGAAAUGGUGGUGGGUUUGGAAGAGAAAGGGAGGAAGGGUUGUCGUGGGAGAGGCCAAGGGUGACUCUUGAGACACGAAGAGAAUGACAUUUCGGGGGAUUUGACGGAGAUUGAACAUGAAAAUUUGGAAAAGAAAGUUUCUUUCUUUCAGGAAUGAGCUAGUGAGCUGCAGCUGGAGUGAAAAGAACUGGAUUUUCCUUCUUUUUUUCUUUUUUCUUUUUUCUUUUUUUUUGGUUCCCUUCAAGGUCGUACGUUUCCGGGCGUUUUUCUGCCAAUUGCAUAAACCAAUCCUGAAUCCUUAACUAGGGUGGGCAAACCCAAUCCAAUCCAAUUGAUUCAACCCAAUUUAACCCAAUUUAAUUUAAUUUUGACGGAUUGAGUAAAUUAUUAUAGAUUAAUUAGGUCAAUUUUUUUAAACUCAAUCAACAAUUAAGUUAGGUUGAAUCAAUUAUGAUGAACUCAUGUAACCAAACCCAACCCACAUAAAUAAUAAUAAGAAGAAGAAUAAGAUAAUUUUUAAUUACAAAAUCUUAAAAAUUGAAACAGUUAAUCUAUACUUUUAUCAUUUUUUUAUUUUUUUUUUUAUAAAAGAGAUUAUUUUGUUCUUGUAUUUCCUGACUCUAAUUCUAAAACUAAAAUCACUCUCUCAAAUCUAGGGAUGGCAAUGGGGUGGGGUGGGGGUGGAGAGGCCUACCUCAUUCCCCCACCCCGUUAGAAAUUUUUACCUCCAUUUCCCACCCCAUUCCUCAAUAAAUUUAGUGGGGUGGGGAUAGAGAAUCCCCAUGUGGGGAAUGAUUUCCCCAUCCCCACUCCAUUCCCCAUUUAUCUAUUUUAUAAUAUGUAUAAAUAUAUUAUUUUAGUAAGUUAAAAAUUAGAGACUUAAAAUAAAAUUAUCAUCAUAUUAUAAAAUAUUUAAAUUCUUUUAAAAAAAUAUCUAAAAAUUUGAAACAAUAUCUUAAAAUGAUAUUAAAAGUGAAAAAUAUUUAAAGAGCGUAGCACCUUAAAAGAGAAAAGAAAAUAUAACAAUGUUUCAGAGUUGAAAAAUAUUAUAGGAUUUUCUUUCAUUCAUAUCUUGUUUAUAUUGCAUAAAAAUUAAAAAAAAAUUAUUAAUUGACAUUAUAAUUGAUAAAAUAAAAAUUAUUAAAUAAGAAUUAAAAACAUAUUUAUAUAUAAUGGGGAUUGGGGUGGGGAGUACAAAACCAAACCCAACCCCAUUAAGAAUUUGGGAAUUAUUUUCCCCCACUCCCCACCCCAUUCCCCCAAAAAUUAUUCAAAAUUUUCCCCAUUUUGGGUGGGGCUCCAUAGGGCCCCAAACUCGUGGAAAAUUUUGCCAUCCCUACUCAAAUCUCAAUUCUCAAUCAAUUAAGAUACUUUUCGAUUUUGUUCAUUCUAUAUUCUUUUAAUUUUCUUUAUCAAAUAUUAGAUAGUGAAUAGAAUUUUCAUAAUAUAAUAUUUUUAUAUUAGAUUUCAAUAAGUUUUAUUUCAACUUUCAUAUAUUUUUAAUAUUAAUUUGACUUCAAAUCUUCAACCCAACCCAACCCAAUCCGUAAAUUAUCGGGGUUAGGUUGAACAUAUUUAGGGGUGGGCAAAAAAAGCUGAUUAAUCAAAAAUCGAAUCGAACCGUUCGGUUCGGUUCGAUUUCUUUACAGUUUUUUUACAUCUAAAAAACCAAAAUAGUAAUUUAGUAUAGUAGUAAAAUCAGUCGGUUCGGUUUUUAAUUUUUAAAAAAAAACUGAAAAACCGAACCGAUCACAAGAAAAAACCGAACGCAAAUUGAUUUUUACACAAUCCCUAAUCUAACACAUUCUUGAUUCUUCUCAUCUUCUGAUCUUCACAGACUUCACUCUUCAAAAGUGUCGUCCCCGCUGCUGCUGCUGCUCAUCCUUCACGAACCUUCACCGCUGGAAUCUCGUCCCCGCUGUAGCUGCUGCUGCUGCUGCUCAUCCUUCACGAAUCUGAUUUGCCACCGCUGCUCAUCGCCGACUCUCGUCCCCGCUGCCACUGUCACCUACUAUCAACUGUUGGUGCUGUCACGGUGCUCCCCUGCUGCCAUCUGACUGCUGUUGUGAGCUGCUGCUGGUAACUGCUGUUUUUGCAGAGUUAUUUGACUUGGUAAAUGGUAUAAUAUAAUCUGUGCUAGUUAUGAUUGCAUAUUAACAAAGUUAUUAAUGCUUGAUCAAUUGCGCAAAGUUUCGCAUAAUAAUAAUUAAUUCAUUAAUUAUUUGAUUUUAUUAAGCCAUUCAAUUGCCACGUGUAUUAUUGUUGAUGCUUCCUGGAUGCCCUGAAUCCUGAUGCAUGCACUUGUUCUUAACCAUUAUUUCAAGGAGCUGGCUAAGUUACGGAUUCUGUAACAUACAGAUCCAACUUAGCCAGCUCCUGAUUGGUUAGCUAGCUACCAAACAAAAACAAUUGCAUGCUUUUUCUCCAUAUGCAGAACAGGUGUGGUGCAUGCAUUGGGUGCGUAUGUUACAGAAUCUGUAAGGUAGACAUGUCCUUAUUUCAAUUGUUAUUUUUUAAAAUUUGAUACUGUACAAGUAAUUGUUCUGGCGGUGGUUAUCUUUAAAGGUGGAUGAGUCAUGAGUUUGCUUUUUUAUUUUUGUUGGUAAUUAAUUAUAAUUUAAUUUAACUCCAGUCGUAACAUCCAUGAAACUACCCAUCCAUUAUGUAACAACAUCACAAUAAUCAAGAUCCCUGUAUAACAAACAUCUCCAUUAACCCUUAAUUAUUGUGAGAUGUCAUUAGCAUAUAUAUUGAUUUUUUAUUUGUUAACUUUUUUAUGUUUGUGGUAGAUUUAUUAAUUUAAGGUUUUAAAUUUUAAAAAAACCCAAAAUAGGCUCAAUAGACCCAUAAUCAAAAUAACCGAACCGAAUCGAAUCGAAUUAUUUCAAUUAAUCGAGUAUUUGAUUAUUUCGGUAAUUUGAUUAAUCGCGAUUAUGAUUUUAAAAUAAUCAUAAUUGAACGAUUAUAAAAAAUUUAGUAAAAAACCGAACCGAACCGAACCGCGCCCACCCCUAAACAUAUUUAUUUAAUUAGGUUAAGUUUAAUUUAUCUCAACUCAUUCAAUAAUGGGUUGGGUAGUUUUCACAAACCCAAUCCAAUCUAACCCAACACAUGCCCACCCCUACCUUAACUUAGGCGGUGGAGGAGAUGCCAACGACGUCGUAAGCAGUGUUUUAAAAGCCUACCAACCAAAACGCUUCGUUGGUUUUCAGGGAUGGUUGAAUUAUUUUGGACCGUUUAAUCUUUUGGGCCCAAAAUUUGGGUCCAACUAACCCUGGCAUCCACUGUGAGUUAUUGGGCCCUUAUCCAACCCAAUGUUAAACAUUUUCACAUCUUCUUGAGGUUCCCCCCAGUCAAAUUGAGUCACACCAUGUGUCCCUGUUUAAAAUUAUGGUACAGUAGAAUUUUAAUAAAUUAAUACUCAAUAAAUCGAUAAUCUCGAUAUAAAUAAUAAUUUUAUCAAUCCCAAACCAAUGUGGUAAUUAAUAAUUUGAUAAAUUUAUUAUAUAAUAAAUUUUUUAAAAAAAAUUAUUUUUCUAUAAGACCCAACUAAUAUAAAAAUUAAUAAUGAAUUAAUUUAAAAAUAAAUACGUAUGAUAUGUUUAUGAUUUCUUUGUUAUAAUGACAUAAUGCUUUAAAUAUUUCAUUGGUUAUUGUUAUAUUCUAUGUGCUACAUUGGUUAUUGUUGUAUUCUAUAUGACAUGUUAAGAAAAAUAAGAGAGAGAUUAGUUAAUAUGUCACCUCCAAGUAGUCUUCUCUGAUGAGUUACUGAAUAAUUGCUAUCCAGCCAUGCAAUCUAGCGAAAAGAAUACCAUAUUAUUGAUUCUUUCAAUUAAGAUCAAAUCAAAGUCAUAUCAUAUAGUUUGAUAGAAUCACUGUAUUAUUUAAUUAUACUAUCAUACUUGAUAAAAGCUUAGAUUAUGAGCCUGAAUUUAUCUUUAAAUAUUAAAAUAUUAUUAAUUUAUCGAUAUAUUAAUAUUUACUAAAUUAACAAAAUUUUCAUGGUCUUAAGACUAUCAAUUUACGAGGUUAUAGUGUAUUUAUACUUUUCUCAUAUCAUAUCCCACAAAAUCUAAAAAAAGUAUCUUAAGAUUAAUUGUAGAAAUCGCACUAAAUUAUUUAUUAAUCACAUCAGUUGUCACAUAAAUUGAAAUUCAAGAGUUUGGACUCCGCAUAAGAGUUAAGACUUAAAUACUGAGACCCUAACAUAUUACUGGAAUGAAUUCUUAUCGAUAGACAUAUGAGUCAACAUAAUCUUAUCAAAUAGACAACUAGAAUGUUGAGGAAACGAAGUACAUAGAAAUCGAAAUGCGUAGUUAUAAUUAAUUAAACAGCCAUAACUUAGGGAACCAGCGAAUGUGUUGGAAGGCCGCGGGAGAUUAACAAAAGUUCGCUUCCUACACCGUGCUAGAAUAAACAUAGUCCUUUCCUUUUCCAAUGCACCAAACAUUAAGCAGUUAGCAAACGCUGCAUUGAAAGUGCAUAUACUUGUAUUUACUUGUAAAAGUUUUGCUCUUAUCAAUAACACCUAGAUUGCAUUGUGCACAUGAUACUCCCGUCUGUAAAUUAGCUGUAACGAAUUGGGACGAACUUAUGAGCCUUCAGCACUAGAAAAAGUUUAGAAUAUAUAAAAAAUACCUUGCUGAUAACUCUAUGAAAUGAGAGUUAUCAUGACACUAUUAGACUUAAAUCAAGAUUACUUAGAGAGUAAAUGAUAUUUUUUUAAUUGCAUUUUAGUUAUAUUUUGCAUGAAUAUCCAUUUUAGUUUAUUUUUAAUAAAUUGCAUUGUUUUAUAAUAAUUUGUGUGCCUAGAUCGUAUGCAUAAUUGUAGGUGAUCGGAAGCUCAAAUUUCAAGGGAGAAAUGCUGCUGCAAUAGGCUUGCAAAAAUAAGGAAAGAACAUGAUUAUAGAAGAAUUGAAAUAAGUAUGAAACAGUGCAUGUGCUAAAGCCAUUACUAUAGCAUUGUUGUUGUAGUAAUUCUGGACCAUUGAUAGAGAAGAUUUCACACAAGAUACUUAGAAGAUUGCGAUAUGAAGUUUCUUAAAAUGGAAGAUAUGUGCCCUAGACUUUUACUUGCCCUAAUUUUAAGAUAUAAAAGAGCACACACUCAAAGAAAAGAAGAAAGUCGUCACCCAAGGAGAAAAACCGCAAAAAAAACAAAAGAAAAACAGAAUUCAAGAGAGAGAUUAAAUGCUGCACCAGAGGAGAAAACACAGAGAUCCAUUGAAAAUCAGUCAUUCUUGUUAUUUUCUUGUUUUUAUUUAUUCAUGGGGAUGUAUUUAGUGGCCAAAAUUCUUUUAUUUAUUUUUCUUUCGCAAAUCAUGAAAUAAAUUUGAUUGUAGUUGAGUUAUAAAUGAUCUUAAUGGAUGUUUGACUGACAUAUUCGUGGUGCUUUGUAUUUGCUGCAGCAAUUUGUGUUAAUUGUAUUUAUUUUCUACAUCAUGUUGCUUUGCUGCUCAUUGCGGCGGUUGCUGUAAUUUAAAAUUGAAAUAAGGUUAUCAAUAGCAUUAAAUACCCACCACAUGAUUGAUGAUUUUCACCAUAAUUGGUAACCAAUAAUGAUUUUUGUAAUAGUAGUAUGGUACCCACUAGGGAUAGCAAUAAAAUUUGGAUCCAGCUUGCAUCCGCAAGGAUCCGAAAGAUCCGAAUCAGGAAAAAUUCGGAUCCGCAUGUUAAAAAAUGCGGAUCCAGAUGUAAGAAAUUAAAAUCUGUAUGGGUCCGGAUCCGGAUACAAGUGCAUCCGGAAAGCCGGAUAUCCAGAUCCGGUUAGUUUUUAUAUUAAAUUAAAAAAUAUAUAUUAACUUAACUUAAAAACAAAUUUAACCUAACUCUCACAUUCACACACACGCUCACAACACUUUACCAGCAGCCACAACCCACAAAUCCCUAACACCCAAAUCCCCCCCAAUUCCGUAGGAUGUUGCUAUUUGUCUCAUGGCCUCGCCUAAUCCUCGUGUCCAAGCCUCGAUCUGAGUCGGUUGCUGCCGCUGCACGCUGUUGUGCAAAUUUUAAUGUACUCGCAAGCGCACGAAUCUAUUGUAGUGUAGAUCAAUGGUGACGAGUGUCGAUCCCACGAGGAGGUGGAUUUUAAUUAUGUGUAGAAUUAAUUCUGUAAAUAGGUGGUUGGAAUUGUGGUGGAAGUGAUUUAAGUUAUCCUAAAAUUGGAAUUGAAAUUGCGAUAAUAAAUUCUAAAAUUGGAAUUGCAAUGGCGAGAAUAAGUUGAAGCGAAAUCUAUUGAAAUGACGUACUUGGGUAUCUGGAUCCGUAUCAACAUGCAUCAUGGGCUAAAUAAUUCGUAUUAAUGCCAAUUAAAUCAUGAGGGGGGAAUCCACACCUCAUGAACCACGCUCUAAUCAAUAUGGUGCUAAGGGCUUAUCGUGCCAAAUAAUAAUAACCUUAUACUAGAGAGCCGGUGUAACCAAGGCGGUAUCUAGACAAGAUCAGUAUUAUUUGUCGACGAUAAGUCAAAUCAUCCACAAAAACUAGAGGGGAAAAGAAAAUAAAUUUACCAAAUAAAGCCCAUGACACAUGUUGAGACUUCACCUUCAACCCAAGCUUGAAAAGAAAUUAGCUACUCAUAAUUGAACUAGGGGCAAAAUGGGAAUUUAUUAAAAUACAAAGAAAAUACAAGAUGGAGAGGGAAUUACAGAAAAUGGAUCCCAAAAAUGGAUUCAGAGAUAUCAAAUUAGGGGGGAGAGGCCCCCUUUUUAUAGAUACAUGGAGUAAAUCAUGGCCAUCGGAUUAAAAACAGUUUGGACGCUCAGGAUUGCGCCACGUCAUCAGUCAACAGUCCACGGUUUGACCACGCGGAUGAACAGUAACACGGUUUGACCCGGAUGAACAGUAACGCGGUUUGGUUGACAAUAAUCCUGUGUGAUGCAUGCACCGUACGCGAGAUUUUUCGUCCACUGAUAUGCUGCCACGUCACCAUCAACAGUACAUAAGAAUUUUAGUCCAACAGGAUCGUGACACCUCAUUAGUCAAUGCCACAUCAUCGGUCAAUGCCACGUCAUCGAUCAAUGCCACGUCAUCGAUCCGUCUAUGUGAACAGUGUCGUGAACAGUAACGUGAACAGUACCGUAUACGUGAAUAGUGCCAUUUUUCCUUUUAUGCUCCUCCUAAGGUUUUCGAUCGUCCUGAGUUCAAAAGUGAUGUCCGUUUUGCCGUCUGAUCUCUCCUUUAUUGUGAAAUGACUAUAAUGCCCCUAAAAUACAUAAAAUACUUAAUUAAAAUAACACACACGUAAUUACAUCACAAGAAGGUUAAAUACAUAAAAGUAAGGGUUGUUAGUAAGACUUGAAAUGUAAAAUGACGGUUUUCUCCUUUAUAAAUAUGCAUUUUCUAACACUCAACACACCCCCCAACCAGCUUAUUGCUAGUCCCUAGCAAAUAAAGCGAAAACAAAAUUCAAAUUCAAAAUGAUUUUUUUUUUUUUUUUUUUUAGAAACACUCGUGUUUAUUCAAUCAGAUUAAUGAUAGCAAUCAAAUAAAAGUAUAAGCAUUAUCUCCAGUCUAAAGCAAUAUCACACCCACAUCAACCAUCCACAUGAAUCGGCCCAGUAGACUUUGUUAUAGCUACUUUCAAGAAUGACAUGUCAAACCCCAAAAUCUCACUGGAAGUAGUGACACUCUCACAAAGAAAUUAAACCCAAAAAAUAGUCACUCCAAUGAAUGGUAAUUGAGAGAAAAUAAUGAAAAAGUGAUAUCACAUGCUCUCACCAAGAUGAAAUAAAUAUGCCAUCAGCUUAGAAAUAAUACAAUCUCAAGUCAAAUAAAAAAAUGUUAGUCAACCCACUUUAUUUAUCUUUUUUUUUUUUUUUAUAUAUUAUGCAUCACUACAUCUUUUUAGCCCAUAUAACUAGCUUCUACUUCAAACUAUAGUUCCCGAAAAUCAAGAAGGACUUUUAUUAGAACGUAACGUAGGCUAGGGAUAUGGCUAACAAAGAAAGGAAAUAAGGAAAACAAAGUGUAUGUUUGAGAAAAAUGCAGAAUUUUUUUUUUUUUUUUUUUUUUUUUUUUUGGAACUUGCAAGGUGGAUUUCACCUAUUAUUGUUAUUUUUAUUCUUUUGAAACAACAACUUUUGUUUUUUUUUUUUCUUUUUGCUUUUAUUUGGCAUAACUUCACUGAACAACAUAAUUAUUUACAUUUUCUCAAACAUAAAUAGGUGAUGGAACUUAAAAGACAUUGGGUAAUACUCAAAAUCGGAGUGGGUCAAGAUGAUAAGUUGACAAAGAAAAGGUUUUUUUUUUUUUUUUUUUUUUUUUUUUUUUUUUUUUAAAGGCUCAAAAGGGGUAACUAUGGAUAUUUAAUAAAAGGGAUGGCUAGAAAGGCUCAAACGGAUCAAAGAUGGCCUUUCCAUCGUCUUUUAGGGCUCUAAAUAAUUAUCCAUAUCUACUAGUUAGAUGGGCCUCCCAAUGUAGCAACACACAUUUUUUUCUUUUUUCUUUUUUUUUUCUUUUUUCUUUUUUUAAUUUUACCAUAUUUUUUUUUAAAGGGUUAACUUAAAAGAAAUCUAGAGAUCGUGUAUAAAAUAAUAAACUGCUAAGCUGUAUAGAGAAUGGGCAAAAGGGUUACUCUCCAAGAAAAUGAUAGGCCCAACAACUCACUUGGCACUUAUUUAUGACAUGUUCAUUCCUUCAAGCAACUCAUAUUUGUCUCCGACAUCAACAUGUAAAGUAGCAAACAUAGCGUAACAUCACUUAAGACCAAAGAUAAUACAAAUACUAAAAUUUGAAAUUAAUCAUGUCAUCCAAUGUUAAAACAAAUAACACAAAUUUUUUUUUUUUUUUUAAACAACAUUCUACCCCCCAACCUAUUCUAAACAUGAAAGGAAAAUAUGCAUGCAGAAAUGUGAAAAUGAUGUAGAAAAAUUAAUUAGAAAAAGAAUUAUUUUUUUUUUUAAAACUAAAAAGAUGCGUUUCUAGAGGCACUACACUCCAUAUUCAGCCAUCUUCGACUCAAAAUUUGAAACUACAUAUUUAUAAAGGAGAAAGAGGAAGAAAACAUGUUUUUUUUUUUUUUUUUUUUUUUUUUAAACGAUGAAGAUGCGUUUCUAGAGUAACUACACUCCAUAUUCAGCCAUCUUCAACAUAAAAUGUUAGCAACAGUUAGUUUCUACAACAAAAAAUUAGUAAAAACUUAACCAAGAUUCCACAAUUGUCGACUAUUCCCUCCCCCCAACCAGAACGAAACAUUGUCCUCAAUGUUUUAAAGGAAAGAAGUAGAGUUUAGAAGACAUCACCUGGGUGGUGCAACACAGAAGAAAAUAUUUACAGGCGGAGAGUUAAAUCUAAUUUGUACUUCUUACUGCGGCUACUGUUACCAUCAUUAUUUGGUCGCUCCAACACAAAGGUCCAGGGGUCUGGCUCCGGUUUAUAAGCUUGUAACAUAUCAAGUAGCUCAUUAGCAGUGUGAGCACAAAUGAAGAGUUUUUUCACAUUAGAAGGAAUGAAAUAGUUUUUUAUUGCAUGGUUAAGAAAUGCGAUAAAGCCAUCAUAAAAGUUAUUGACAUUUAACAAACCGAUGGGUUUCUGGUGGAUGUGCAGAUGGGCCCAAGAUGCUAGUGUCAUAAGUGCCUCUAGUGUUGCAAGAUCUCCUGGAAGGAAAAUAAAAGCAUCAGCAUGAUUAAGCAUUUCAGUUAUUCUUUCUUGCAUACCUGAGACGACUAACUCUUCUCCAGUUGAUGAGUCAGACGAACCGCCCAAUGGUUUUAGGACUCUUGGGAUGAUGCCUAACACUUGACUUCCUCUGAUAAAAGCUGCUUCUGAGACCAUUUUUGAUAACCCUCGGUUACCUCCUCCAUACACCAAGUGUAAUUUUCUCUCUGCUAUGCUUCGACCAAGAUCUAUGGCUGCCUCAACGAACUCUUUAUGUUUGCCAUAGGUAAAUCCAGAAAGCACACAAAUGUUCUUGAAUUGUCUAUUUGGAGUAGCUGUCAUUGUGAUACUUCUCAAAAAAAAUAAUUUGUGAGUGCUUGACAAAAGAUAUCACAUUUAAGAGUCUUGGUGAUAGUGGGUCAUGGUUGUGUAUGAGGUAAUGUGUCAGUGUCAAAUAACGCGUAAAGCACGUGGCUCGCAAGUCAAAAAGAAAACAGUAAAAAAAGGAAAAAGCCAACAGUAAUAAAAUUAUUAAAGACAAUAAUGCAAAAAUAAGACAAUAGUGAAAUAAAAUAACAAUAAAGUAAAAGGAUAUUUACAGGUAGUUGCGACUGUGGCUCACAUCUUCCUCUGGUUUUACGUCCAGAAACGGCUUGAACGCCCUCUAUGGGUCGAGGAUCGGCUUCCCAUCCAGUUUUCUUAUAAACUGACAAACAGGGUCGUUUAUAGUCAGAUUCCCGAGACUAUAUCGUGUAUGCUCUUUCUGGAAUAAUGGCCACAACUGGAGAAUCGCUCCUUGCACAUAUCCACUGGGAUGCGUUUCAAGAGACAAAAGAAUAUCAUCCAAUGACUCCUUAUUCAAGCCAUCCCUAAUGAAUUGAAUCUUAUCUUCCCUGUUAUCAGACACCAUUCCUAAAGAACAUAGGUUUCUAUCGCAACUCAUUCUGGCACACUUAUGACAAGCAACAGAAAUUCUUCGAGCUCGUCGUUUUCUUGCAUAAUUUCCUUUACCACAACCAGGCAUGAAUGCAAUAAAUUUUGGAGGUAACUCACCUGCCGAUCGUACUUUAGCCUCGAUUAACCAACGGAUGUCAGCAGGUAUGUUAUUCUUCAUGAGCAAUCGCAUGCGUUCGGACCGGGCUUUAUAGAUUGUAAGGAGGGCAUUCUGAGGAAGUGAAGGGAAUCGCUUGUGAAGCUUUGCUAAAAUCUCGUUUCUAUCCAUACCUUCGCCUCAGAAUAUCAGUUAUUAUGGGAAACUGAAGUUAACCGACUUGAUUGUCACGGAGUACCGUUAUCCGCCACUUCACCGGGGUAACAAACUAAAGCACACAAACAGAAAAACAAAUUAAAACACACAAAGAAAAUUAAAAUCGUCCUCUUAUUGAAUUUACCUCAAGCUCCAACUGGAUGUCGUAAACACUUCUCUCAAUGUCUCUGAGUUGGCGUUCUAAACCCUCAACAUAGGCUACUAACUCUGGUGGUUGUAGAGCCCAAAUGCGUUGUGUUUUACAAAAUAGAAUCUGCCUUUUGAGAUGAGUUUUGACACGUUGAAGUGGUUUAAGAAUGUUCAGGAGGAACGGUCUAAGUAUGAGACUCAUGAUUAAAAAUGAUAAGAGAAAACUUAAUUGUUAAACAAACACACUUAUGCAAAAAUAAUUUCAAAUAGCAAAAGAAUAAUAAAAAGAAAGAAAGAAAAAUCAAAUCAAUAAAAAGAGAAAAAAAAAAUUAAUUCAAAUCUGGUGGGUCACUCAAAUUUAUUUCGGUGUCUUCUUCAUGUGGUUGGUACUCUAGAUAUGGCUUUAAUCUUUGACCAUUAACUUUAAACGUGACACCGUUCUUUGGGUCUUUAAUUUCAAUUGCCCCAUGUGGAAAAACAGUAUGAACAAUAAAGGGACCAGACCAUCGAGAGCGUAACUUACCUGGGAAUAAGUGCAAGCGAGAAUUGAAUAAAAGUACUUUCUGACCUGGAGUGAAAGAUUUUCUCAUAACGUGCUUGUCGUGGAAGACUUUCAUCCGCUGCUUGUAAAUUUUGGCAUUUUCAUAUGCAUCAUUGCGAAUUUCUUCAAGUUCUGCCAGUUGUAAUCUUCUCUCUGAGCUGGCUUGCUGCAUGUCAAAGUUGAAUUUCUUGAUGGCCCAAUAUGCACGAUGCUCGAGUUCCACAGGUAGGUGGCAAGCUUUUCCAUACACUAGCCUGUAGGGUGACAUCCCAAUCGGGGUCUUGAAAGCCGUUCUAUAUGCCCAUAAUGCAUCAUCAAGUCGUAAUGACCAAUCUUUCCUGUCUGGCCUCACCGUUUUUUCUAAUAUGUGCUUGAUUUCUCGAUUGGAGAUCUCAACUUGGCCACUGGUUUGCGGAUGAUACGGGGUCGCCACUUUGUGUGUGAUUGAAUACUUUGUCAAAAGAGCUUUGAAUGCUUUGUUACAAAAGUGGGCACCACCAUCACUGAUUAUCGCUCGAGGGAAUCCAAAGCGUGAAACAAUAUUGCUUUUCAAAAAUCCUAUCACCACCUUGUGAUCAUUGGUUCUACAUGGAAUUGCUUCUACCCAUUUUGAGACGUAGUCAACAGCAACCAAUAUGAAUUGAUGGCCAAAAGAAGGGGGAAAGGGUCCCAUGAAGUCGAUACCCCAUACGUCAAAAAUCUCAACCACUAAAAUUGGAUUUAGUGGCAUCAUGUUCCUUCGUGUAAUGCUCCCCAUUCGUUGACACCUAUCACAUGAAGAACAGAAAGUGUAAGCGUCUCGAAAUAUAGUUGGCCAAUAGAAACCACAUUGUAAAACUUUAGUCGCUGUUUUCUUAGCACUGAAAUGGCCUCCACAAGCUUGUUCAUGGCAGAAUGAAAGAAUAUUCUGAAUUUCAUUUUCAGGGACACAUCGUCUAACAAUUUGGUCUGCACAAUACUUGAACAAAUAUGGGUCAUCCCAAAAGAAAUUCUUUAUUUCCGCAAAGAAUUUAGCCUUGUCUUGCUUGGUCCAAUGCUCUGGAAGUUUACCUGUAACAAGAUAAUUAACUAUAUCAGCAUACCAAGGUAAUACUUCCACAUGCAUCAAUUGUUCAUCUGGGAAUGACUCAUUUAAUAUUAAUGGCUCUGUAAUUGUGUCAAAAUGGAGACGAGAGAGGUGGUCCGCCACAACAUUUUCUGUGCCUUUCUUAUCCUUGAAUUCCAAGUCGAAUUCCUGCAAAAGUAACACCCAACGAAUUAGUCUAGCUUUUGCAUCUUUCUUUGUGAGAAGAUAUUUAAGAGCAGCAUGAUCUGUGAAUAUAAUUAUUUUACAACCAAUGAGAUAAGAUCGAAAUUUUUCCAAUGCAAACACUACUGCUAGCAUUUCUUUUUCAGUAGUUGAAUAGUUCAACUGUGCAUCAUUUAAUGUCAUACUAGCAUAGUAAAUAACAUGGGGAAUUCGAUCAACUCUUUGUCCUAAUACUGCUCCUACGGCAUAAUCAGAUGCAUCACACAUGAGCUCAAAUGGUAAGCUCCAGUUUGGGGCCUGAAUGAUGGGUGAUGAUGUCAACAACUGCUUUAAUUUUUCAAACGCCAUGAGACAUGAAUCAUUAAAGAUAAAAGGUACAUCCUUAGCAAGUAAAUUGCAUAAGGGUCUAGAAACUUUGCUAAAAUCUUUAAUGAAACAUCUAUAAAAACCAGCAUGUCCAAGGAAAGAUCUUACUUCUCUGACUGUUUUAGGUGGAGGAAGAUUAGAAAUGAGAUCCACCUUGGCUUUGUCAACCUCAAUACCUUUGCUCGAAAUGAUAUGACCGAGAACAAUACCUUGUUUUACCAUAAAAUGACACUUCUCCCAAUUCAAGACUAAGUUCUUCUCGGUACAUCUCUGCAGAACUAGCGUUAGAUGAUGUAAACAUUGAUCAAACGAGUCACCAAAGACAGAAAAGUCAUCCAUAAAGACUUCAAGGAAUCGUUCAACCAUAUCAGAAAAAAUGCUCAACAUGCAUCGUUGAAAUGUAGCAGGUGCAUUACAUAAUCCAAAUGGCAUUCUCCUAUAUGCAAAUGUGCCAAAAGGGCAAGUGAAAGUGGUCUUCUCUUGAUCUUUUGGUGCUAUGGGAAUCUGAUUAUAUCCUGAGUAGCCAUCUAGAAAGCAAUAAAAUUCGUGGCCUGCUAAUCUAUCAAGCAUUUGAUCGAUAAAUGGUAAAGGAAAAUGGUCUUUACGUGUGACAGAAUUCAACUUUCUAUAAUCAAUGCAUACACGCCAUCCUGUAGUUACUCUAGUUGGUAUCAAUUCAUUAUCAGCAUUGGUAACUACUGUGACUCCUGACUUUUUGGGGACAACUUGUACAGGACUGACUCAUGAACUAUCAGAAAUUGGGUAAAUAAUACCUGCGUCUAAUAGCUUAAGGACUUCUGUUCUAACAACUUCUUUCAUAUUAGGAUUUAACCGACGUUGCAUUUCCCUAGUAGUUUUAGCAUUUUCAUCAAGGUGAAUGUAAUGCAUGCAGUCUACUGGGUUUAUACCUUUAAUAUCUGCUAUGGUCCAUCCUAAUGCUCCUUUGUGCUCUUUUAAAACAUCCAACAACUUACCUUUUUGUUCGUCGUUUAGGGAUGAUGAGAUGAUUACCGGUAGAGUGCUUUCUUCUCCCAAAAACGCAUAUUCCAAUGUGUUGGGUAAUGGUUUGAGCUCGAGUUUCGGUGGUGAUUCUGAUGAUGGAAUGAGUUUCUUCUCUGAUGGUGCUAGUUGUUCAACUCUUGACUUCCAUUUAUUAGUGUCCAUGGAUGGUGCUGAGUCAAGUAGGGCGUUGACCUCUUCGACCGAUCUGUCAAUAUCAAAAUCCAAACCAAAGUGAGUUAAACAUGUUUGUAAAGGAUCAUCACUAAGGUUUGAAAGAAAAGUAUUAUCAACUAUUGUUUCUAUUAAAUCCACAUCAACAAUUCCAUCAUCUGCACUGUGAGGUUGUUUGGCAAUGUUGAAGAUGUUUAGCUCCAUAGUCAUGUUGCCAAAGGACAACUGCAUAUUUCCAGUCCUGCAUUGAAUGUGAGCAUCCGCAGUUGCCAAGAAAGGUCGGCCUAGAAUAAUGGGGAUGUGCUUCCUUGAGUCCUGUAUUGGUUGAGUGUCAAUUACAAUGAAAUCAACAGGAAAAUAAAACUUGUCUACCUGGAUAAGCACGUCCUCCACAAUACCACGAGGUAUUUUUGUGGACCGAUCUGCAAGUUGUAACACCACUAGAGUUGGGUGUAAUUCUCCCAGUCCAAGUUUCACGAAUACAGAGUAAGGCAACAAAUUUACACUAGCUCCUAAAUCCAACAAAGCAUUCUCAAUUGUGUGGUUCCCUAUACUACAUGAGAUAGUGGGGGAGCCUGGGUCUUUGCAUUUUAAAGGAAUUUUAUGUUGGAGUAUAGAACUAACGUUUUCUGUUAAAAAUGCCUUCUUUUGAACAUGCAUAUUUCUCUUUUUAGUACAAAGGUCUUUAAGAAACUUGGCAUAAGAUGGAACUUGUUUAAUAGCAUCAAGUAAAGGGAUGUUAACACUUACCUGUUUGAAGAUUUCGAGAAUCUCACCUGUGGAUUUUCCCUUCUUUCCUUUCACUAACCUCUGAGGAAAUGGAGCUUUGGGAACGUAUUCUCGUAGGUUGGUUUCUUCUUUUUCCUCCGGUGGUGAGUCCUCAGCAUUUACAGGUACAAUUUGAUUUUCUUUUGUCACCGGCAUCUCCACUUUGUUGUCGACUUCCUUUCCUUUUCGCAAGGUCAUGACUGCUUUGACCUCUCCAUACUGUUGUGGUGAACUGGUACUUGCUUCAUGCACUCCUUUAGGAUUAGGCACUGGUUGACUUGGAAACUUGCCUUUCUCAACAGUCAUUGCCAAGGUCUGAACUGAAGAAGCAAGUUGUCCCACCAUCUUCUCGAGGCUUGAAACUGAUUGAGCUUGUGAGUUAAAGCCUGCUCUCAACUCAUUUCGUAGUCCAUCAAUGGUGCGGUUCUGUUGCUCAAUCGUAGAGUGAGUAGCAUUCUUGAAAUUCUGGAAUGAAUCCUCCCAUGGUCUGGGUUGAGAGUAGUUUUGGUUUUGAUUGAAUGGUCUAAAUGGGGGCUGAGAGGCUUGAGGAUUUUGAGGAAUUGGUUGCAUUGGUGGAGCUGGAGCUGCUGGUCCAUUCUGUUGGAAUCCUUGGGACCAUGAAAAAUUGGGGUGGUCUCUCCAUCCAGGAUUAUAUGUGUUGGAGUAUGGGUUGUAAUUUGAUGGCUUUCUCAUUACACCUAUGGCAUUGGCUUGAUCUGGGUAUGAGUCAUGGUCAUGUGGUUCUGUUGAUUUAGCAGUCGAUAACGAUGCUAUUUGUCGAGCAAGACCUUCAACCAUCUCCUUGACUUCUUUGAUUCCCGAAGUUGACUCGCCAAUUUGAACCUCAUUUACUCCCUUAAUUCUUCUAGUAUUCCUGAGUGAUCGACUCCGUUGUUGGGAAUUAUCCGCUUGUCGCUGGAAGAAUUCCCAAAUCUCUGUUGCGCUUUUUGACAUUAGCUCUCCUCCACUUGUUGCCAUUAGCCAUUCUUGCACAUUUGGUAGUAAUCCCUCCAAAAAGUAUUGGCAUUGGUGCCAUUUCUCGUACCCAUGAUGUGGACACUUCAAGAGUAGCCCAUUGAAUCGCUCCCACGUUUCGAAAAACUGCUCGUCCUCUCUUUGUGUAAACUCUGAAAUUUCCCUGCGAAUAGAAUUGGUUUUAUGCACUGGGAAAUAUUUAUUUAGAAAUUUUGUAACCAUUUGUUCCCAUGAUGCAAUGCUAUUAGCAGGCAAAGUAUUUAACCAUGAACGAGCUCUAUCCUUUAAAGAAAAUGGGAAUAAUCUGAGUUUAACAUCAUCGUCUGAAAAAUUUUCAUAUUUAAAAGUUUGACAAAUGGUAUGAAAAUCAUUCAGAUGAUUAUAUGGGUCCUCAUUUUCUAAGCCAUAGAAUGUGGGGAGACAAUUUAGCACACUAGGUUUUAGUUCAAAGCUCCUAGCAGCUACAUUUGGGUAUCUUAUGCAUGAUGUGCUCAAAUUAGCUAAGGGACUAAAAUAGUCCUUAAAUGGCCUCUCCUGUGGUGCUUGUAAAUCCAUUUCAAAUUUAUUUUUAUCGUUCUUGUGUGUGCGAAGUGUUUUUUCUAAUUCAAGGUCUAUAGGUUCAAGAUUAGGUAAUAAUGACCUACGACCAUGCAUGCAAAAUAAAAUAAAAAUAAAAAUAAAGAUGCAAACAAAACAAAAAAUAAAGAUGGGAACAAAACAAAUAAAAAUAAAGAAGAGGGAGAAAUUAUGAUACUAACCUUAUUGCGCUAUUACAACCUUUCUAUAAAAAUACACAAAAACAAAUACGUGAAAUAAAUUAACUAAAAAUUAAAUUAAUAAAAUAAACAAAAAUUACAAAGAAAAAAUAAAUUGAAAAUUAAAUUACAGAAUUUUAAAGAAGAGAAAAAGAAAAGAAAUACUAACCUUUAAAUGUAGAUUUACUCUUUUUUUUUUCUUUUUUUUUUUUCAAUAAGAAAAAAAAAUACAAGAAAACAAAUAAAAGAAAUUAUUCACAAAAAUUAAUUCUAUGAAUUAAAAUUACUUACCUCCCCGGCAACGGCGCCAAAAACUUGUUGUGCAAAUUUUAAUGUACUCGCAAGCGCACGAAUCUAUUGUAGUGUAGAUCAAUGGUGACGAGUGUCGAUCCCAGGAGGAGGUGGAUUUUAAUUAUGUGUAGAAUUAAUUCUGUAAAUAGGUGGUUGGAAUUGUGGUGGAAGUGAUUUAAGUUAUCCUAAAAUUGGAAUUGAAAUUGCGAUAAUAAAUUCUAAAAUUGGAAUUGCAAUGGCGAGAAUAAGUUGAAGCGAAAUCUAUUGAAAUGACGUACUUGGGUAUCUGGAUCCGUAUCAACAUGCAUCAUGGGCUAAAUAAUUCGUAUUAAUGCCAAUUAAAUCAUGAGGGGGGAAUCCACACCUCAUGAACCACGCUCUAAUCAAUAUGGUGCUAAGGGCUUAUCGUGCCAAAUAAUAAUAACCUUAUACUAGAGAGCCGGUGUAACCAAGGCGGUAUCUAGACAAGAUCAGUAUUAUUUGUCGACGAUAAGUCAAAUCAUCCACAAAAACUAGAGGGGAAAAGAAAAUAAAUUUACCAAAUAAAGCCCAUGACACAUGUUGAGACUUCACCUUCAACCCAAGCUUGAAAAGAAAUUAGCUACUCAUAAUUGAACUAGGGGCAAAAUGGGAAUUUAUUAAAAUACAAAGAAAAUACAAGAUGGAGAGGGAAUUACAGAAAAUGGAUCCCAAAAAUGGAUUCAGAGAUAUCAAAUUAGGGGGGAGAGGCCCCCUUUUUAUAGAUACAUGGAGUAAAUCAUGGCCAUCGGAUUAAAAACAGUUUGGACGCUCAGGAUUGCGCCACGUCAUCAGUCAACAGUCCACGGUUUGACCACGCGGAUGAACAGUAACACGGUUUGACCCGGAUGAACAGUAACGCGGUUUGGUUGACAAUAAUCCUGUGUGAUGCAUGCACCGUACGCGAGAUUUUUCGUCCACUGAUAUGCUGCCACGUCACCAUCAACAGUACAUAAGAAUUUUAGUCCAACAGGAUCGUGACACCUCAUUAGUCAAUGCCACAUCAUCGGUCAAUGCCACGUCAUCGAUCAAUGCCACGUCAUCGAUCCGUCUAUGUGAACAGUGUCGUGAACAGUAACGUGAACAGUACCGUAUACGUGAAUAGUGCCAUUUUUCCUUUUAUGCUCCUCCUAAGGUUUUCGACCGUCCUGAGUUCAAAAGUGAUGUCCGUUUUGCCGUCUGAUCUCUCCUUUAUUGUGAAAUGACUAUAAUGCCCCUAAAAUACAUAAAAUACUUAAUUAAAAUAACACACACGUAAUUACAUCACAAGAAGGUUAAAUACAUAAAAGUAAGGGUUGUUAGUAAGACUUGAAAUGUAAAAUGACGGUUUUCUCCUUUAUAAAUAUGUAUUUUCUAACACUCAACACACGCCUCGAUCUGAGUUAGUUGCUGCCACACCUCGCCUCGCCGCCGUCGAAUCCUUGCAAUCGAAGAAGCCUCGUUUGAGCACUUUAAUUAAAAUGGUCUUGGCAAGCCUUGUUGAAUCCUUUGGCCUUUGUUGAUUCAAUUUAGUUUAAUUUUGAAUAAAUUUCUUUGCUGAUUCGUUUCAUCCCUUUAAUUAAAUGCAUUAAUUUUCAAUAUAAUGUAAAUAUUUAAUAGGUUUUGGGAUUAGGUUUUAAUUUGAAAAAUUGUUGAAUUUUUAAAUUAUAUUUUAAAUUUUUGCGGAUCCAGAUAUUCGGGAUAUCCGCCCGCAAUACGAACGGAUAUUACUCACAUCCGUAUCCGUAAAAAAUUUACAGAUGCAUAUCUGAAUCCGAAUAUAAAAAUAUCAAUCUAAAUCCAAAUUUUACCACCCCUAAUUCUCACUUCCCAUGCAAUAAUACAUUGGCGAUUGAUGCUAUAAAGUAUGGGGGUAUGAAACCCAUCCAAUUCAUUCAUUCACGUGUCCUGCAUUUAUUAUCUCCACCUCACCUUCUUCAACAUUUAUUGCCACCAUCAAAUUCCACAAUGUUCGCCCUUGAAAGUUUUUACUUUUUAUUAUUCGUGUUAAAGAGGUUGAUCUGCUUGGGCCUCUUGGCCCUAGCUAACUAUUCCUACGAUACAAUAUUUCUUUGGAUAUGAACAUAUAUGUCUUGCCGAGAGUAUACAUAAAGCUUAUAUUUAUUUUUACUAUCGUUCAAUAAAAUCAUGCUAUUUAUACAAUCAUCAAAAAAACAAUAUGUAAUUUUUUUAGGAGAAAUUUUUAUUGAAGUAAUUUUGGGACAAGAACGUUUCGGUUCAGUAGUUUCCAAUGUUAUUUUUCAAGUACGGAUGUAACUCAUCCAAUUACAUCAAAUAGGUCCAUAAUUCCUCCCAAGUUUUGUUUUGUUCUUCUUCUUUUAAUAUCACAUUACCACAAUCUCUUAAUCAAUUCUAUAAUGGCAAAAUUUAAAUAUUUAGUUUGGAUUUAAAAUAAAUGGAACCUAUUUUUGAAUGAUUAAAAGAAAAUUAACCUCACAAAUACACAUAAGUAAACUCAAACUUUGUGGAAAGAGAAUUGAUUUACUAUUAGGUUAUUGGAUGGUUCUCUUAACCCUUAAUUUUUUAAGAAAAAAAAAGGAAAUGAAGGCCCUAACCCCAUUUGAGAAGUAUCUAAAUGCUCUUUAUUCUGUAAUAGUUUUGGCAUAGUCUUACAUUCUCAAUAUUCAUUCAAAUGGAGAAGUUAGUGGACUAAUUUGAAAAAAAAAAUUAAAGAUCUAAUGUUAUUAACCGUUUUCUAAUCUUCUAUUAAGAAAUUUUUUGCUGGAAUAUGGAAACCUAUAAGCAAUUGGGAAUGUAUUGACCGCAAUUUGCAAAACUCGUUGACUCUGGGAUGAUCUCUCCACGUACGCGUGAGUGCGUGUCGGUAUAAAUAUGAAGGACUUAUCACAUAGCCCACAUGGACGACCCACCCCCGACAAUCAGGUUACAUGCCUCUUUCGUCAUAAAAGAUUGUCAAUUCUUCAUUAAGACUAUUUUUUUUUCUUUUAACACCUAUAAAAGUAUUUAAACAUAUCUAGCUAAUUUUUAUGUUGACACAUUUAUUAACAACAUUGUUAGUACCAAAAUUGACAUUAGCUAAAUAAGACUAUUUUUUUUCCAAACAUCCUUAAAAAUACUUAUAAAACAUUUAGGCUUUAGCUAAUUCCUAUGUUGACACAUUUAUUAAUCUACAAAAAUGCCUUCAUUUAGAGUAGUUGAGAAAACUAUUAUGAUUUUUUGUUUUAGUUUUCUAAAUCAAAUCCAUUUUUCUCCAGUUUUGUUUUCUCUAGUAGCCAUUUGCCCAUACUUAUGUUUUGGCCCCACCCCCCUCCCCCCGGCCGCGGAAAAAAAAGCCAACAACACAAUUCUUCUAACGAUCGAUUGAAUUUUUUUUUAUUUUGCCCCUUAAUUUCCUUUUUUUUUUUUUAAUUGCACCAUGCUAUUUUCUUGCACUGAUAUUGUUGCUUCUUUUUUAUAUUCAUUUUCUUUUAUUUCUACUUUAACUGCAAAACUACUUUUUUUUGGCGAAUAAUUAAUUUGUUCAAUUUUUUUCUAUUGUAAGGAAAAAUGUGGCAAGUGAAAUAAUGAGAGCAUGAAAGGAUGUGAGCAUGAGAACAUUUAAGCAUGUGAGCAUGUAAGCAUGAGGGCACGUGAGCAUGUGAGCAUAUGAGUAUGAGAGUAUGUGAGCAUGAGAUAAUGAGAGCAUCAAGCAUGUAAGCAUGACAACAGAUGAGCAUGCGAGCAUGUGAGCAUGCUCGCAUGAGAGCAUGCUAGUUCAGUAGAAAAUUUAAUAAGUCAAUUAAACAUAGCUAUAUACAAGCAUGAGAUAAUGAAAACAUGUUAGCAUGAGAGCAUGCAAGCUCAGUAGGAAACUAAUAAAUCAAUUAAGCAUGUUACAUGAAAGCAUGAGACCAUGAGAGCACAUGACCAUGAGAGCAUGUGAGCAUGAAAGCAUGUGACCAUGGGACCAUGAGAGCACGCGAGCAUGUACCGGAGCAUGAGAGCAUACAAGCUCAGUAGAAAACUUAAUAAGUCAAUUAAGCACAACUACACUCAGUAGGAAGUUUAAUAAGUCAAUUAAACACAACUACACUUAGUAAGAAACUUAAUAAGUCAAUUAAACACAGUUACAUAAGAGCAUACAAGCUCAAUAAGAAGCUUAAUAAGUUAAUUAAGCUCAGUUAAAUGAGAGCAUAAAGUCAAAUGAGCACAACUGUUAGAGAGCAUGAUUGCAACAUAGCAUUGUGAUAACACUUAAUAAGUCAAAAAAGUAUGAUUGCGGGAGAUUGUUGUUGUAGGCGAGCAUAAUAGCACAAAAGCGCUACCAUGGGAGAUGAGUUUAACUAAAAAAGCCCAGCUGCUGAAUCUAAUAACUAGGCAACAAUAGUUGGAAACAUUAUCAAAGCCUAGUAAAAGAAAUUAGAAGCUCUUGAAGCACAAAGCGAGAUAAAAAAGGAGAUUAAAUGUUGGAGAUAAACAUUGAUAAAAGAUAAAACUCAAUCUAAGAAGGAGAUAAAUAUUGAUAUUAGAUAAAAGUCUAAGUGAUAAAGAUGAUCAACACGAGGAAUUAUCGAGGAAUCGGGAUAUAAAUUUUAUUAUAAAUAGAGAAUCCCUGAUGGAUAGAGGUAUAAGAGUAAAUAGUUAGACCCAAAAAAGAAAAAGAGCUUCAUUGUAAUUCUUAUUUAAUAGUGAACAUUACUCUUUCUAUACCCAUGGAUAUAGCUAAGUGUUAAAUCACGUAAAUUCUUUAUUUUAUUUUUUCUUAUAUCAUCACAUUAUUCUCUAGUUGAUUAGAAAUUAGCGUCAACAUUUAAAAAAAAAAAUGCAAUGCCCUUAAUUGUAAAUCACAUUUGGGUAUUUUGUAAUUAAAAUUUUGAUAAAAUAUUAGUUUGCAGAGUAUUUUGUAGGGUGCAAUUACUCUCAUCCAAUUUUUUAAUUAUCUAAUUAUUUACUAAUUUGAAAUAGUCCAGAUUUAUUGAAAUGUUUUAUUAUUUAUAAUUUCAGUACACAACAAGGGCUGCAAUGUUAAUAACCAAUUUCACGCAUCCACCUACUAAAACUACUGUUCCAUAAAAUCUAAUGGUGACAACAUAAACACCAAAAAAAAAUAAAAUUGGGGGUAUUAUACAACAAUUGUAGGGUAAUCAGACCGGUUUAAUAGUCAUAAAUACUUAUGUAAUUCCACAAGCUCUUUUUAAAUUUUUCGCUAAUUUAAUUAUUUUUUAGUAGAGCUUUUGAAUAUUAAAUAAGCUAUAUUGCGCUUAAAUUUUAGGUUUUUGAGAAUAGAUGUUAAAUUUUAUUUUUAAAUUAUAUGUCAUAUAGUUCAGCCUCUUUUUUAAAAUGUUAAAAUACCUAAAAUGUCAUUUACUUAUUUGUCAAACAUAUUUCAUUCCUUUCAUAACAUAUUUUUAAAAAAGCUUACCAAUUAAAAUAAUUUUAUGAUUAAUACUACCGAUCGUAAUAUGUUUCUAAUUGAUAAUUUUACCCUUUAUAUCCAAUGAAAUUGUUGUUUUGGUUUUACUCUACCCCAAUUACAUCUACAUGAUGUUUGCGAUCAAUUAACAGUUAACUAAUCAUUAUAAUUAAAUUUAUAAUUAUUUAGUAGUAAAGUGUUAUAGUACAGUCAUUAGUGCACUUAGGGUGCGUUUGGUAUACGUAUUGUAUUAUGUUGUAUUGCAUUAUUUUAAUGCUGGUGUAUUGUAUUAUGCUGUAUUGCAUUAGCAUUGUAUUAUAAUAAUACUGUACAAUGUUUGGUACUACACUGUACUGUAAUAAUUUUUUAUUAAUUUAAAUUAAAUUAAAUAUUAUAUUAAUAUAUUUAAAUUGUAUUAAUAUUUUAUAUUAUUAUUUAUAUUAUUAUUAAUUUUAAAUUAAUAUUAUUCAUAUUUAAAUAUUUAUUAUUAGUCAUAAUAAAUUGUAAAUUUAUUAAUAAAUUAAAAUGUAAAAAUAAAAAAUAGAAUAUAAUAUUAUUGAACAAUAAAUCAUUUAUUUAUAUUAAUAAUUAUAAUGUAAAAAAUAAAAAAUAUUAAAUAAUAUAAUAUUAAAUUAAAAAAUAAUAUUUAUUAUUAUUAUUAUUAUUAUUAUUAUUAUUAUUAUAAUAAAAUUAAAGUAAAAGCAAAAGUUAGCAAAAGCUGGAAAGUUGGAAACGAAAAGGAAAAAAAAAAGGAAAGAGCAAACGAAAAGGAAACAAAUAUUAAAUAAUAUAAUAUUAAAUUAAAAAAUAAUAUUUAUUAUUAUUAUUAUUAUUAUAAAAUUAAAGUAAAAGCAAAAGUUAGCAAAAGUUGGAAAGUUGGAAACGAAAAGGAAAAAAUAAAAAAAGGAAAGAGCAAGCGGCAGUUUGCCGCAUUAGAUUGGCCCAUUAUGCAGUGUUUCUGUAGCUUUUAACUUACCAAAUAUGGGCUUGUAUAAAGCUAAUGCAAUGAGGAGUUAUAAUACAGCAACCAAACAUGCCCUUAAGCAGUAAAAAGAUAACCUAAUCAGUAAAAAGAUAAUAACUCAAAUAAAAAUAUUUGAACACAAUUAAGAUAUAUAUAUUUGGGGAUAAUUAAUUGAUGAGGGAAAAUGCUUGCAGGAGGGGCAAGUGGAGUUGGUUUGGAGACAGCAAGGGUCUUGGCUCUACGUAAAGCUCAUGUUAUUAUUGCUGCAAGAAACAUGGCAGCUGCAAAUGUAUUCUAAAAGAAGAUGACACUGCUCGUGUUGAUAUUCUGAAACUUGAUCUUUCCUCUAUUGCUUCUAUUAAAGAUUUUGCUCAAAACUUCAUUGCUCUUAAUCUUCCCCUUAACAUCUUAAUGUAAUUUUACUCUCCCCUCUUUCUCGAAAUAUUACAUAACUAUCUACUGAUGUUUCCGAGAAACAAUAAAAGCAUACUAUAACAUGCAAAAAUUAAUUUAAUGCAGAAACAAUGCUGGAAUCAUGUUCUGUCCCUACCAGAUUUCUGAAGAUGGAAUAGAGAUGCAAUUUGCAACAAAUCAUAUUGGUGAUUACUUUAAUUUGAUGCUGUAUUGGCUGUUAUUAAUUGACUAGCUAAAUUAGUAUUCAACUUUAAAUAUUACUUUUGCAGGGCAUUUUCUUUUAACAAAUUUGUUUCCGGACACAAUGAAGCGCACGGCCAAAGAAACGGGUAUUGAGGGGAGGAUAGUGAAUCUACCAUCAAUAGCCCACCAAUACACAUACAAAGGUGGCAUUCGGUUUCAGAAGAUCAAUGACAAAGCAAGGUACGUUUUGAUCAUAUAAUAACAAUUAAAUCAGCUAAAAAUUUCUUCUCAUGUACGUUAUAAAUUUUGAUUUCAUCAUAUUAAUGCGUUAUUAAAUUGUAACGUAUUAUAUAUCACUGGGCAAUUAUGCUAAUUGAGUUGAAAAGUUAGUGAAAAAGAAAAAGAUAAAACAAAAAUCAUGGAUCUAUGAUGAUUGUUUUCUUUUUUAACAAGCUAAUAUUAUUAUGUUAUAUGCAAGGGUCAUUAAGAAAUUCUCUAAAUACCUUGUUAUUGUCAAAAAAAAAUUUACUGACAAAUUAAUUUUAGCUAAUUCAUAAUUUAACUUCAAUCCACGACAAUAACCGAAAUGAACAGACAGACUAGCUAGCAAGGUACUAGCCUUGUAACUGCCUCCAUUUAAUGCUAAUUAAGCAAAACUCAAAGAAACUACUGCUGAUGAUCAUGAUAAUGUCCAAAACCCGAGCUGUAAAAAUUAGGAAGAGCAUCGUUGGAAGAAGGAGGAAUCCCAAGAGGUAAUUUGCUUUGAUGAUGAUGAGGAUUAAUAUUUUGAUUAUUCACACCAAAAAAUGGUGAAGGGUUAUUUUUGGAAUCGAUCAAAAUCUUGUUAGCUUGUUGUUCCACAUUCUUCUUUAGCUCUUCCAUCGCGGUCUUCAAUUGUUCAAGUUCAUGCAAUCCUAAUUCGUUUAUAGGAGCUUCCCACCAACAUUGGCGGCAACUUGCUUUCCUUAUCUCACUCAGCACUUCACCAUGCUUCUUCUCAACUUCUAGUUGAUGAAGCACUUGUGUUAGUUGCAUGUUGAGCUCUCGAAUGUUAGCAUUUCGAUGAGCUUCGAUAAGCCUAUCUGUGCUAGACUCUGAAGGCGGGUUAGGAUUUCGGGCAAGAUAAAGAUCAAGGAUUGAAUCAACAUUAGGGUGGCCGAAAGAGAAGGCCUUGUUGGCAGGAGAGAAGACUAUUAGGGCAAUAUCAACACCACAAAGUGUGCUAAGUUCACUGGCUUUUUUGAACACGCCCGCACGGCGUUUGGAGAAAGUUACUUGAAGAUUAUUUUUCUUUGGUAUUUUUGAAAUUGCAAUCUUUUGGCGACCCGCACAAGGCUUCUUCAUCUCCAUUGAUGCAAAUUAAAAUCAAAGAAUACUAAAAAAAUUAUAAAAUGUUCGUUUACUUUUCUCUCUUAUAUAUAUAUAUAAUUUCUUGUGGUAGCUGUUGGGGAAACACAAUAGUAUUUAUAGGGUUAAUCUACUUGAAGUUUGCCUUGUAACUUAAUUAUGUGAUUAAUUGAAGAUUUGCGAGUUACCAAAUUUUAUUCUUUAAUGCUUGAUUAGUGAGAACUAAUUAUCUUUAUUAGUUAGCCUUCAUAAGAUAACAAUUUCAUCUAUGAGGUAAUCUGGUUAAGUUGAUUAACCAUAUUCGUUAGUAUUAAUUUCGAUAUAGAAAAGUCAUAACAUUCUUUCAUUAUAUUUUCUAAUUAAUAUCUUUCUUCCUAUUAUAAUUACUUACUUUCUAAUAGCACAAUAGAAUAGCUAAUUAAGUUCACAUAUGCAUUAAACCUAUGUAACAGUAGCAAUAUAUAUAUUAUUUAAACAGUUACAGAAGGGCAAUAUGCAUUACUCUAUUUGGUUUCAAUAAUUAUUAAUUAACUUAUUGUGUUAUUUGGGCAUUCGUGCUUACUAUAGCCAGCAGCUUCAGUGCCUAAUCCAUAUUAAUUCCUUGCAUUUUAAUGAAACAAGGAGAAAUCAAGUUCAAGAAGGCAAAUCAUAUGUAUCCUCUCUUCAGGAUUUUUUUCAGUUACAUAUUUCUCUAAUAGGAACAUCAUGAUUCUAUGAUUAAUAAAAUAUCUCUACAUUGUUGAUAGAUUUGUUUCAGUCGCUACAAUACUUUUAUCCCAUCUUCUCUUUUCCUGUUUGCUCAAAGGCAGGCAAAGGCUUCAUCCGUUGCGUGACGUGCGCUAAGAUUCAUAUUUCACAGCAUUAUCUUUCGAGUAAAUCACCAUAAGGAAAGAAUGACUAUCCUUGGGCGAGAUAAUGAGUCUUCCUGUCAAAAUAUUCAUGCACAUAUAGCAAUACUCAUGCAUCACUAUUGGAUAAAACAGGAAUUUGUGUGCACAAAAAAAAAAAAAAAAAAAUUAUGCAAACGCAACAGAAUUUAUAUUUUCGAAAUAUGAUUAUCAAUAUCUGAGGAAAAAAAAUCGAAUCUCAUUAGGGAAUCUUGCCACGUGAUCUUGAAUAAUUGACUAAUUGUGGAAGAUGAAGAUGAUUGUGAGGUGAGUUGCCGAUGGUCGUGGUGUUGUGUGGAGGCAAAAGAAAUGGUGGUGGGUUUGGAAGAGAAAGGGAGGAGGGGUUGUCGUGGGAGAGGCCAAGGGUGACUCUUGAGACACGAAGAGAAUGACAUUUCGGGGGAUUUGACGGAGAUUGAACAUGAAAAUUUGGAAAAGAAAGUUUCUUUCUUUCAGGAAUGAGCUAGUGAGCUGCAGCUGGAGUGAAAAGAACUGGAUUUUCCUUCUUUUUUUCUUUUUUCUUUUUUCUUUUUUUUUGGUUCCCUUCAAGGUCGUACGUUUCCGGGCGUUUUUCUGCCAAUUGAAUAAACCCAUCCUGAAUCCUUAACUUAGGCGGCAGAGGAGAUGGUAACGACGUCGUUAGCAGUGUUUUAAAAGCCUACCAACCAAAACGCCA
Molecule: long non-coding RNA, 27139 nt
Filed under: Citrus maxima (pomelo)
Lineage: Eukaryota; Viridiplantae; Streptophyta; Magnoliopsida; Sapindales; Rutaceae
Description: long non-coding RNA (CMAX_LNC002733)
Rfam family: Plant small nucleolar RNA R71 (bases 16319-16422)
Source: RNAcentral